RNAcentral lists this ribosomal RNA (373 nucleotides) under uncultured bacterium. RNAcentral's name for it is "bacterial SSU rRNA". It matches the Rfam family "Bacterial small subunit ribosomal RNA", at positions 527 to 896 of the family's 1533-position model. The record is from RNAcentral.
GUAGGGGUCUAGCGUUGUCCGGAAUUAUUGGGCGUAAAGAGCUCGUGGGCGGUUCGGCAAGUCGGAUGUGAAAUCUCCACGCUUAACGUGGAGGGGCCAUUCGAAACUGCUGUGACUCGAGUCCGGUAGGGGAGUUCGGAAUUCCCGGUGUAGCGGUGAAAUGCGCAGAUAUCGGGAGGAACACCAGUGGCGAAGGCGGAACUCUGGGCCGGAACUGACGCUGAGGAGCGAAAGCGUGGGGAGCGAACAGGAUUAGAUACCCUGGUAGUCCACGCCGUAAACGUUGGGCACUAGGUGUGGGGUUCUAUCGACGGAUUCCGUGCCGUAGCUAACGCAUUAAGUGCCCCGCCUGGGGAGUACGGCCGCAAGGCUA